AGUCAGGAUGGCCGAGUGGUCUAAGGCGCCAGACUCAAGUUCUGGUCUUCGAGAGAGGGCGUGGGUUCAAAUCCCACUUCUGACAUAC
RNAcentral lists this transfer RNA (88 nucleotides) under Helianthus annuus (common sunflower). RNAcentral's name for it is "tRNA HanXRQr2_Chr16g0766111". It matches the Rfam family "tRNA". From Rfam's summary of the family: Transfer RNA (tRNA) molecules are approximately 80 nucleotides in length. Their secondary structure includes four short double-helical elements and three loops (D, anti-codon, and T loops). Further hydrogen bonds mediate the characteristic L-shaped molecular structure. tRNAs have two regions of fundamental functional importance: the anti-codon, which is responsible for specific mRNA codon recognition, and the 3' end, to which the tRNAs corresponding amino acid is attached (by aminoacyl-tRNA synthetases). tRNAs cope with the degeneracy of the genetic code in two manners: having more than one tRNA (with a specific anti-codon) for a particular amino acid; and 'wobble' base-pairing, i.e. permitting non-standard base-pairing at the 3rd anti-codon position. RNAcentral also lists the same sequence under 1 other name. The record is from RNAcentral. Lineage: Eukaryota; Viridiplantae; Streptophyta; Magnoliopsida; Asterales; Asteraceae.